This is a non-coding RNA of Callithrix jacchus (white-tufted-ear marmoset), 3837 nucleotides long. The record is from RefSeq and is a predicted model, not a curated record. Lineage: Eukaryota; Metazoa; Chordata; Mammalia; Primates; Cebidae.
GCAGGAGGCAGAGCUGCUGCGAGAAGAAGACCCAGGAGAUCUGGGGCAGCGAGCUGUGCGUCUGGCAGCGCAGGUCCAGCAGCGUGGGCCCCAGGAAGGCGAUGCACAGGCCGAAGCUGAAGAAGACGCUCCAGUAGGUACUGGUCCAACCUCACAGCGGCACCCCUGCCUCUGCUCUGUCCCUCCCUGGACAGUGAGCCCCAGAGUGGGGAAGUCCCGGAGUCCCGUGGCUCACCACUCUAGACGGAGUCUUGCCAUGUUGCCCAGGCUGGUGUCAAACUUUUGGCCUCAAGCAAUCCUCCCACCUCAGCUGGGAUUACGAGCAUGAGCAACCAUGCCCAACCUGACAUUUUCACUAUGUACACUCUUGUACCUUUUGAAUUAUGGAAGACAUGAAUGUGUUUUCUAUUUUAAAUAAACUCUCAGGAAACCACUUGUCAAACUUCUGCUUGCUACAGAAUUGCUUGAGGAGAGAAUUUCAAAUGCAGAUUCACAGAGUUCAUCCCCCAGGGAUUCGGACUUUGGAGGUUUGGGGACUGUGAUCCCUGGGGAAGGAGGGAGCUGGAAUUCCUGCUGAUGGAGAAGUAGCUGAGAUCUUAAGAAGCUGAGCGGAAGAAAAGAUUACAUCCUAGCCGCCUCUGAGACGCUGAGCUCCUGGGAGUGGGGUCUAAGUCAGGGUCAGUGCUUUUAGGUGACCAGAAGGCAAGGAUUUCCUAGUCCCUGGAAACCAGACACCCAUCCUCCAUUCAAAUGAGUGAGGUGGAGCGUCCAUGUCAGAGGCUACACCUGCCAGGAGGCAGCUGCUCAGGGUCUCACUCCAUUUCCCAGGCUGGAUGGUAGUGGCAUGAUCACUGUUCACUGUGGCUUCGAUCCAGGCUUAGGUGAUCCUCCUACCUCAGCCUCCUGAGUAGCUGAGACUACAGGCAUCAGCAAUCAAGCCCAGCUAAUUUUUUUUUUGUAUUUAUUAUAGAGACGGGGUCUCACUAUGUUGCCCAGGCUGAUCUCAAACUCCUGGGCUUAAGCAAUCUGCCUGCCUUGGCAUCCCAAAGUGCCAGAAUUACAGAUGUGAGCUGCCACCCCCAGCCCAUAGCUUACUUCUGAUGGAGAGGUCCAUCCCUGACCAGGCAGUCCCCCACCCUAUGCCAUCACAUUCCUCUCCCCUGCCACCACCCUGCCCCUGCCUUAUUUUGUCUCAUCGCACUUAUCUCCCCUUGACAUGCCUGUUUAUUUGGAUAAUGUCUUAUAUCUUCCACUGGAGCAUAAGCUCUAUGAGAAUAGGGGUUGGCCUUCCUGUUCAUGGGUGUAUCCUCAGUGCCUAGCACAGCACCAGGUGGACAGUGGGUUCUUGGUAAAACCUGUUGAAAUCAAGGCCAUCUCUGCCAGCAGGUCUGAGCUUCUGGAAGGCAGGGGUGGAAUGUCAUGCAUCUUGGUGUCUUGGUGUCCAGCACAGGGCCAAUUCACGGGGCUGAUGAUUUGCUCUAGAGAUAACGGGGGCUCAUGGGGGUUCUGUAAAGUGUCACAGCCAGAAGCAAGGGUCCAAGUAGAGAUUGAGGUGAAGAGGUGGCCCAAAGGAGGCUGGGAUGUUUCAAGGAGGGAGGAAAGGGGCAGGUAUGCAACAGCGCCUGACACUUGGCUGGUUCAGGGGGACUAGCAGGGUAGAGGAGUGGUGGCCUAUUAUAUAUCAGCCCUGACCACUGGACCCAGACAGUAGGGCAGGGUGAGUGGGAGCCCACAGGAGGAUGGGCAGAGGAGAGCCAACUCCAGGUCCCACCGGGGUUCAAGGUGAUGUGGGCAGCGCCAAGCACAGGAGCUGAUAUCACCCCCACCCUGUAGAAGUCAUCAAAUGGGACCUUUUGUCUGAAGCUGCAGGGCUGCUACAAAUCUCGAAUGCCCCUGCCAGGUGGCCAUAGUGCAGGGGAAGGCAUCUGCACCCUGGAUGUUCCUGACCUGUCCCAGAAGCAGGCAGACGGCAAAAGUGAGGCCAGAGGGGGAAAUGACUUGCAAAAGGCUGCUUUGGGUCAGGGAUUCCAGCAGAAUGGGGCUAGCUCCUGUUUUUGUCACCGGCAUAAGGAAACGAUUGCAGGGGUGCCCAGGAAACUGAGGGCUCCAGGACAUUGGGUUGCGUUGUAGCUCAGCCUGGUCCCUGGGAGCCCAGUGGCAGCUCAUGACCAAAAGCACUCAGCCCCUCUUCACACCCAGGUUCCUUCUCCAGAGCCAUCACUUUUUGAGAACCAACCAUAUUCAAGGCCUGGUGUGAGCCUGUCCAGCUGAGUUCCACAACCCCAGGCUGGCCCGCACCCUCAGCCCUGAUAGUUUUCUAGGUCAGAGGCUCAGAGGGCCCCAUGUCAGAAGCCCUAGGUGUGUACCUCCCAGCAGGGCCAAGCUGCAGCAGCAAGGACAGCUGCCCCCAGAGACUCCUCAAGAUGCAGGAGCCCGGCCGGGCCACCUCUGCCGGCCACAAGGGUGGCCUUGCAAGGUGUUCCUCAAAGCAGCAUCUGCCCAUGCCCUUCCUUGUGUGUUUUCCUCCCUCUAGGGCCUCUACACUGUCUCCACCUCGCCCUCCCCAUGCCUCCCACUCCCUGAAGACCACAGGACUGGGGGGCAGACACCUGGGAUUCUAAUUUGGUAUGUGACCCCAGGCAACCCCUGGGAGGAUCAUGUCCUCAUCUGCAAAGUGGGGAGAAAGGGGGUUGCUGUGAUUCAGUGAGACAAUGCCUGGGCACAGGGCUGCCUGGCAUCCAGCAGGGAGUUUAAUAAAUGUCUGGCUUCCAAUUCCCGCCAAUGCAUUUCCCAGCCCCUCUCCUCCCUUCAAGCACUAAUUGUCUGAGUUACGAUCCUGCUUUGGUGUCUGGCUGCCUACAAGCAAAGUGAGGAGGUCUUGUUCGGUAGAACUGGUGAUGGGCUGAGAAUGGAGCCCUGGUCCACCCCUUAUUUCCAGAGACUUGGGAGGCAGCAUUGGCCUCAGCAUUGGCCUCCUCCUCUGGAAGGCAGCCACCCUCUCCAGUAACUGCAAACCAUGCCAGCAAACUGCAGAGUGCUUAAGGCCAGGCAUGAGAAUAGGUCAGAGGGCAGGGUUUGGGACCUGGCAUUCUCCAGGUGUUCUCGGGAGAAACAAGCCUGGAUGCCGAAUUGGACAACAGCAGGAUUCUGAGCACUUUGGGAGCUGUGUGUGAUGGGGGCUGUGUCUAGAUCCAAGGCCGGGAGGUGGUCAGGGCAGCAGCAGGAGGCGGACUGGAGGUCUGCAGGCAUUUUCGCAGGGCCUGAACUACAGCAAGGCCCACAGCCCAUCCUGCUGUGCCAGCCUUGGCCAUCUCCAAGUCAACCCCACCUUGAUCUCACCUCCCUCCCUCCCCAGAAGCCGGGGGCCAUUUGGUGCCCAGGCAUCAGCUGCAUGGCCAGACCCCGGACCCCCGCCCAGGAGUCCCUCUUUGCUCUCCUGGCUAGCCCCACCCUCCCAGGCACCAACUUGGGUGAAUCCCCGGCCUGGGGCUCCUCUACCCACCCACAAACACCAUUGAUGCUCCUCAGCAAGAGCCAACUUCUGGGUCCAAACAGCAGUACCCAGGAUACAGCAGGAUGAAUGCUGGACACAGCCUGGGGUGCGAGGGAGGUCAGAGAUACACACAAACCAAACUCUCUUCUCAUUAAAUAUAUAUAUGUAUAUAUACACACACACACAUACACUCAAGCAUGCCCCACCCACACUCAUUAGGCCUGGAGAGGGGCCUUCGCUUCUCCAUCUUUGGCAUCAAUCUAUCAAAAUCAGCUUUUCUGUACAAGACUGCUCAUUCCUUUCUGUACACCAUGAAUUAAAUAUAUUAUCUGUCUCUGCGCUGA